This 252-nucleotide ribosomal RNA is filed under the name uncultured bacterium. Its description in RNAcentral is "partial 16S ribosomal RNA". It matches the Rfam family "Bacterial small subunit ribosomal RNA", at positions 524 to 776 of the family's 1533-position model. The record is from RNAcentral.
UACGGGGGGGCAAGCGUUGUUCGGAAUUACUGGGCGUAAAGCGCACGUAGUCGGCUUUGCAAGUCGGUUGUGAAAUCCCCGGGCUCAACCUGGGAACUGCAUCCGAGACUGCAUUGCUAGAGUAUGGGAGAGGAAAGCGGAAUUUCUGGUGUAGCAGUGAAAUGCGUAGAUAUCAGAAGGAACAUCAGUGGCGAAGGCGGCUUUCUGGACCAAUACUGACGAUCAGGUGCGAAAGCGUGGGGAGCAAACAGG